This 811-nucleotide ribosomal RNA is filed under the name uncultured bacterium. RNAcentral describes it as "bacterial SSU rRNA". It matches the Rfam family "Bacterial small subunit ribosomal RNA", at positions 589 to 1401 of the family's 1533-position model. The record is from RNAcentral.
CAGUGGUCAAAUGAGGGGCUCAACCCCUUCCCGCCAUUGAAACUGGCGUUCUUGAGUGGAAGAGAAGUAUGCGGAAUGCGUGGUGUAGCGGUGAAAUGCAUAGAUAUCACGCAGAACCCCGAUUGCGAAGGCAGCAUGCCGGCUUCCGACUGACGCUGAAGCACGAAAGCGUGGGGAUCGAACAGGAUUAGAUACCCUGGUAGUCCACGCGGUAAACGAUGAGCGCUAGGUGUCCGGGGGGAAUGGCCCCUGGGUGCCACAGCGAAAGCGUUAAGCGCUCCACCUGGGGAGUACGCCGGCAACGGUGAAACUCAAAGGAAUUGACGGGGGCCCGCACAAGCGGAGGAACAUGUGGUUUAAUUCGAUGAUACGCGAGGAACCUUACCCGGGCUCAAACGUUGCAGGAAGGGUGUCUGAAAGGAUGCCCGUCUACGGACCUGCGACGAGGUGCUGCAUGGUUGUCGUCAGCUCGUGCCGUGAGGUGUCGGCUUAAGUGCCAUUACGAGCGCAACCCCUACCGCCAGUUGCCAACAGGCAAAGCUGGGGACUCUGGCGGGACUGCCGGCGCAAGCUGCGAGGAAGGCGGGGAUGACGUCAAAUCAGCACGGCCCUUACGUCCGGGGCGACACACGUGUUACAAUGGCAGGUACAGCGGGAAGCCACCUGGCGACAGGGAGCGGAACCCGAAAGCCUGUCUCAGUUCGGAUUGGAGUCUGCAACCCGACUCCAUGAAGCUGGAUUCGCUAGUAAUCGCGCAUCAGCCACGGCGCGGUGAAUACGUUCCCGGGCCUUGCACACACCGCCCGUCAAG